AAAACACCAAAGAACAAUACCAUAUUUUCUGCAUAUUAUAGAUCACCACAUUGAUAAGUUUUAUAUUUAUUCAAUCCGAAAGAGUAUUAGGCAAAUAACUAAUCGGUACCUGGAUUCUUGAAGGUAUUGUAACUUCACGUUUCCUUGUCGAAAAGGUUUUGAAAAACCUCCUUGUACACAACAUUCAUCGUCGACAGUUGAUGAUUUCCAUCUUUGUCGGUAAUAAGAAUCUUUAACCCCCUCCUC
Molecule: long non-coding RNA, 246 nt
Filed under: Brassica napus (rape)
Lineage: Eukaryota; Viridiplantae; Streptophyta; Magnoliopsida; Brassicales; Brassicaceae
Description: long non-coding RNA (BNAP_LNC014512)
Source: RNAcentral